CCUACGGGCGGCAGCAGUCAAGAAUCAUUCACAAUGGGGGAAACGCUGAUGGUGCGACGCCGCGUGGGGGAAUGAAGGGCAUCGGAUUGUAGACCCCUGUCAUGGGGGAGCAAAUUAAAAAGAUAGUACCACAAGAGGAAGAGACGGCUAACUCUGUGCCAGCAGCCGCGGUAAUACAGAGGUCUCAAGCGUUGUUCGGAAUCACUUGGCGUAAGGCGUUCGUAGGCUGUUUCGUAAGUCGUGUGUGAAAGGCGCGGGCUCAACCCGCGGACGGCACAUGAUACUGGGAGACUAGAGUAAUGGGGGGGGAACCGGAAUUCUCGGUGUAGCAGUGAAAUGCGUAGAUAUCGCGCGGAACACUCGUGGCGAAGGCGGGUUCCUGUACAUUCACUGACGCUGAGGCACGAAGGCCAGGGGAGCGAAAGGGAUUAGAUACCCCAGUAGUC
Molecule: ribosomal RNA, 446 nt
Filed under: uncultured bacterium
Lineage: Bacteria
Description: partial 16S ribosomal RNA
Rfam family: Bacterial small subunit ribosomal RNA
Source: RNAcentral